ACGUAGGUGGCAAGCGUUGUCCGGAAUUACUGGGUGUAAAGGGCGAGUAGGCGGGUAGCCAAGUCAGAUGUGAAAUACUCCGGCUCAAUCGGGGGGCUGCAUCUGAAACUGGCUAUCUUGAGUGAAGGUGAGGAAGGCGGAUUUUACGGUGUCGCGGUGCAAUGCUUUGAUCUCGGGAGGAACACCAGAGGCGGAGGCGGCUUUUUGGACGAUAACCGCUGAUGCCAAGAAAAAGCGUAAGCAGUGGUUUC
RNAcentral lists this ribosomal RNA (251 nucleotides) under uncultured prokaryote. Its description in RNAcentral is "partial 16S rRNA". It matches the Rfam family "Bacterial small subunit ribosomal RNA", at positions 525 to 769 of the family's 1533-position model. The record is from RNAcentral.